Molecule: unclassified non-coding RNA, 201 nt
Filed under: uncultured Entoloma
Lineage: Eukaryota; Fungi; Basidiomycota; Agaricomycetes; Agaricales; Entolomataceae
Description: sequence contains ITS2
Source: RNAcentral
AAUUCUCAACCUGUCUAGUUUUUUUUUAAAGACUUUGACAAGGCUUGGAUUCUGGAAGUUGCUGGCUUUUUGGGUCAGCUCUUCUCAAAUGCAUUAGUGAUGAUCUUUACUAGAUCAGCUUUGGUAUGAUAAUUAUCUAUAUCACUGCUAUAGAAAGAUCUUGCUUCAAAUUGUCUUGUAGGACAAAAUUUAUUGAACUAU